GGGUGAAUUGGUGAUGUUUCAAAAAUAUGUGCUUUUCGCAAUCUUGCAAUCAAAGUAUAAAGCUUUUUAAAGUUUCUUGAAAUGCAAGCAAGUGCAACGGAAAAAACGUAGUAGACUGCGUUAGAAAUAGAGUUCACUGGAAUGUAAAAGAUAAGGGAUAGAGAAAUUCAAACAUAGGUUUUUAUACUGGUUCGGCCAACAAUGCCUACAUCCAGUGUCCUUCCACCCGAAAACAAAUGCACUAUAAUGGUUGCAGUUUUUACAACAAGGAAUUUAUA
This 278-nucleotide long non-coding RNA is filed under the name Vigna radiata. RNAcentral describes it as "long non-coding RNA (VRAD_LNC011260)". Lineage: Eukaryota; Viridiplantae; Streptophyta; Magnoliopsida; Fabales; Fabaceae. The record is from RNAcentral.